UACGUAGGGUGCAGGCGUUAAUCGGAAUUACUGGGCGUAAAGCGUGCGCAGGCGGUCUUUUAAGUCAGAUGUGAAAUCCCCGGGCCUAACCUGGGAACUGCAUUUGUGACUGCAUAGCUAGAGUCUGUCAGAGGGGGGUGGAAUUCCACGUGUAGCAGUGAAAUGCGUAGAGAUGUGGAGGAACACCGAUGGCGAAGGCAGCCCCCUGGGAUAAGACUGACGCUCAUGUACGAAAGCGUGGGGAGCAAACAGG
RNAcentral lists this ribosomal RNA (253 nucleotides) under uncultured bacterium. Its description in RNAcentral is "partial 16S ribosomal RNA". It matches the Rfam family "Bacterial small subunit ribosomal RNA", at positions 524 to 776 of the family's 1533-position model. The record is from RNAcentral.